GUCCUACCUUAACCUCACGUGGUCUGGCAGGCCCGCUUGCCCCAUAGGCUCACAGCUCUACUGGCAGUGGACGUGUUGAUGUCCCCUGCCUUCCAGUGUGUAGCGUGCUUCCUGAACUUGCUGAAGAAGGGCCAGUUCUCUUCUCUGCCCAAGACAUCCUUGCGUCUGCUGCAAGAGUGCUCUAAACGCAGAGAAGCCCUGGUGAGACGUCAUCAACUUCAGGCUACAGAGGGAUGUCAAGGUAGGUUACUUUUUAGUCCCCUAAAACUAACUUUUCUCAUCUGGGUCUGAAGUAACUCAAGGAACAGAAUAGCCUUGCUUCUCUCUCUGGACUGUGGUCCCAGCCCUACCCCUGCAAAUCCUCUGUAGCUCGGUGAAGGCAGAGCAGGGUGAGUAAGAGCAGAAUCAAGUGGAGGGGUGUCUGUAAGCUUGGGAGGUCACAGACCCAUGCAGACGGAUUGGGUGUUGUGCCUCGGUCAGGAUGAUGCUUUGCAGGCACUAUUUCCGGACGCGAAGUGAUAGCUCCAAUAAUAUUUAAAUAAGUUUGGAGAGCGGAGACCAGAUCCUUAGGCUCUGGUGUGUGUGGAGCAGGACAGUAGGAGGCUCAAAAAUGGAUUUAAGAUGUAUUUCUUUUGCCUUGUUUCUGGUUCUGUCUGGCUCACCUGUAAGUUAGAGCAGCCACCAGGCUUCCACAGUUCAGAGUUUGUACGAGUGCUGGCUAACCCUGAGGGACCUGGGUAUCACCAAGCUGCAGUGUGCUCAGUCACGUCCCAGUGACGCUGCCGUGAGCCCCACCACAGCUUUCACGUGUGCGUUCCUGGCUGCCUGGACACUAUGAGAGCUGCAUUUGCCAUGGGCCUGCAGUGGCGAGGGAGUAAGGUGCAGCCGCUAGGCUUGAAAUACUAUGGGAAGACGGUUUGCCAAACGUAACUUGGAUCUCAGCGUUGCUGGUGUUGUCAAGAUCUCCCUGCCUUGACGCGUCCUCAGAUGGGCAGCAGAGAUUUCCCUCUUUUUUCCUUCCUUUUUUUCUUUGUUCUGUUGCUCUGUUAAGCUCUCUUCACUGCACUCAACCUAAUGAUCCCUUUCUCACUUUAUGUCCUUCAAACUCUUCCCUUUAAACACUUAGUCAUCACUUAGCUAAACUACUACAUACAAAUAUAGCUCUUUUGAUCUUCCUACAUAAAUCAAUACCUGCUGCCCUUUAAUCUUUGUAGUGGCUUUCUCUGAACUUCCUCCAGCUUAGUAAUCCAUGUGAGUUGUGAGUAAUCCAUGUGAGUUGAGAAAGUGAGUU
This 1291-nucleotide long non-coding RNA is filed under the name Struthio camelus australis. RNAcentral's name for it is "lncRNA (ENSSCUG00000005843.1)". Lineage: Eukaryota; Metazoa; Chordata; Aves; Struthioniformes; Struthionidae. The record is from RNAcentral.